This 160-nucleotide unclassified non-coding RNA is filed under the name uncultured Infundichalara. RNAcentral describes it as "sequence contains ITS1". Lineage: Eukaryota; Fungi; Ascomycota; Leotiomycetes; Helotiales. The record is from RNAcentral.
CAGAGAACAUCGCCCUCACGGGUGACUCUCCAACCCUAUGUUAUUAAAACCUUUGUUGCUUUGGCGAGCCGCUUCGGCCACCGGCCUCUGCUGGUGUGCGCUCGCCAGAGGACCCCAAACUCUGAAUGUUAAUAUCGUCCGAGUACUAUAUAAUAGUUAA